Daphnia carinata is the source of this 460-nucleotide long non-coding RNA. RefSeq lists it as uncharacterized. The record is from RefSeq and is a predicted model, not a curated record. Lineage: Eukaryota; Metazoa; Arthropoda; Branchiopoda; Diplostraca; Daphniidae. The transcript has 3 exons.
CAGCCAACUUCGCAUCAACAGCAAGUCAGCAACCCAAUGCCGUUUAACAAAAUUCUCACAGGAAGAUCUUGUUGGUAAAAGUAUUGACCGUGGGGAUUUUUCAGAGAUUAUAUGUAGUCAAAGAAAAUUAAACAUAGUAUAAAAUAACCCUAGGGGGCGGGCCAAGCCAAACGUAUGCUUUUUUAAAAUCUUGAUUUUUAUCUUUUCGGGAGAUUGGGUCAGCUGCCAAUUUAAAGGCAAUAUUGCUAAAAUUCUGUUGCUGUCAGAUGAUUGUUUGAAUAUAUCGAUACAAGAUUUUGUUGCACGUUCAUGAAAAAGAAUUCAGAAAUGGGAUCUACGUCUCGAGCAAGCACUAGCAGCAAUGCUGGAAGUGGGUCCAACCAAACUGUUGCUGCUCGAGAAGCUUUCCAGGUUCUUCUGGAGUUGUCAAAGCUCCUUAAUACAGGAUUGGAUGCUGAAA